CGGGUGAGUAAUGUAUGGGGAUCUGCCUGAUGGCGGGGGAUAACUACUGGAAACGGUAGCUAAUACCGCAUAAUGUCUGCGGACCAAAGCGGGGGACCUCCGGGCCUCGCGCCAUCAGAUGAACCCAUAUGGGAUUAGCUUGUAGGUAAGGUAACGGCUUACCUAGGCGACGAUCCCUAGCUGGUCUGAGAGGAUGAUCAGCCACACUGGGGCUGAGACACGGCCCAG
Molecule: ribosomal RNA, 228 nt
Filed under: uncultured bacterium
Lineage: Bacteria
Description: partial 16S ribosomal RNA
Rfam family: Bacterial small subunit ribosomal RNA
Source: RNAcentral